GACAGAGGGUGCAAACGUUGCUCGGAAUCACUGGGCGUAGAGGGCGCGUAGGCGGCCUGGCAAGUCGGGGGUGAAAGCCUGUGGCUCAACCACAGAAUGGCCUUCGAUACUGCCGGGCUCGAGACCGGAAGAGGUCAGUGGAACUGCGAGUGUAGAGGUGAAAUUCGUAGAUAUUCGCAAGAACACCAGUGGCGAAGGCGGCUGACUGGUCCGGUUCUGACGCUGAGGCGCGAAAGCGUGGGGAGCAAACAGG
RNAcentral lists this ribosomal RNA (253 nucleotides) under uncultured bacterium. Its description in RNAcentral is "partial 16S ribosomal RNA". It matches the Rfam family "Bacterial small subunit ribosomal RNA", at positions 524 to 776 of the family's 1533-position model. The record is from RNAcentral.